AUUGAACGCUGGCGGCAGGCCUAACACAUGCAAGUCGAGCGGAUGACGGGAGCUUGCUCCUUGAUUCAGCGGCGGACGGGUGAGUAAUGCCUAGGAAUCUGCCUGGUAGUGGGGGACAACGUUUCGAAAGGAACGCUAAUACCGCAUACGUCCUACGGGAGAAAGCAGGGGACCUUCGGGCCUUGCGCUAUCAGAUGAGCCUAGGUCGGAUUAGCUAGUGGGUGGGGUAAUGGCUCACCAAGGCGACGAUCCGUAACUGGUCUGAGAGGAUGAUCAGUCACACGGGAAUUAAGACACGGUCCAGACUCCUACGGGAGGCAGCAGUGGGGAAUAUUGGACAAUGGGCGAAAGCCUGAUCCAGCCAUGCCGCGUGUGUGAAGAAGGUCUUCGGAUUGUAAAGCACUUUAAGUUGGGAGGAAGGGCAGUAAGCUAAUACCUUGCUGUUUUGACGUUACCGACAGAAUAAGCACCGGCUAACUCUGUGCCAGCCGCCGCCGUAA
This 500-nucleotide ribosomal RNA is filed under the name uncultured bacterium. Its description in RNAcentral is "partial 16S ribosomal RNA". It matches the Rfam family "Bacterial small subunit ribosomal RNA", at positions 30 to 523 of the family's 1533-position model. The record is from RNAcentral.